CCCAACCUGCCAAAAGCUUCUCAAAACAACAGAACUGCAUCAAUCCAGCUAUGAAGUCAUGGACCGGGUUCAUCUGUAAUGGCCUGCAGCGUUGCCGCCUGCCAAAGACAAACCCAAGAAUGUUUGUAUGCGACCACGGUGCCAACUUUCUCCAGGUCAGCUAUUACUGCAGGAGACGACAACCCGCUGAGAAGACAUCUGUUGCCUGUCAAGGACAAACGGCA
Molecule: long non-coding RNA, 224 nt
Organism: Nerophis ophidion (straightnose pipefish)
Lineage: Eukaryota; Metazoa; Chordata; Actinopteri; Syngnathiformes; Syngnathidae
Exons: 3
Source: RefSeq, a predicted model, not a curated record